CACAUGGAUCUCCUCCGGCGAGUCGCCGUGGUAGCCGUGCUCCUGUCGCUGCCGUCGCGUGGCCGCUCCGGCGGCGGCGGCAGCGAUCUGCACCCGGUCGUGCUCGUGCCGGGGUACGGGUCCAACCGGCUCUACGCGCGGCUGACUGCGGCGUACGAGCCGGCGGCGCCUCGCUGCGGCGCGCGAGAGGGGAAGGAUGAG
RNAcentral lists this unclassified non-coding RNA (201 nucleotides) under Hevea brasiliensis (rubber tree). The record is from RNAcentral. Lineage: Eukaryota; Viridiplantae; Streptophyta; Magnoliopsida; Malpighiales; Euphorbiaceae.